UGGUGAGUAACACGUGGGAACGUGCCUUUUAGUGGGGGAUAACAUCUGGAAACGGAUGCUAAUACCGCAUACGCCCUGAGGGGGAAAGAUUUAUUGCUAAAAGGUCGGCCCGCGGUAGAUUAGGCAGUUGGUGGGGUAAAGGCCUACCAAACCUACGAUCUAUAGCUGGUCUGAGAGGACGAUCAGCCACAUUGGAACUGAGACACGGUCCAGACUCCUACGGGAGGCAGCAGUGAGGAAUAUUGGGCAAUGGAGGCAACUCUGACCCAGCCAUGCCGCGUGAGUGAAGAAGGUUUUCGAAUUGUAAAGCUCUUUCAGGUGUGAAGAUGAUGACGGUAACACCAGAAGAAGCCCCGGCAAACUUCGUGCCAGCAGCCGCGGUAAUACGAAGGGGGCGAGCGUUGUUCGGAAUUACUGGGCGUAAAGGGUGUGUAGGCGGUUUAGUAAGAUAGUGGUGAAAUGCCGGAGCUCAACUUCGGAAUUGCCAUUAUGACUAUUAAGCUAGAAUGAUGUAGAGGAUAGCGGAAUACCCAGUGUAGAGGUGAAAUUCGUAGAUAUUGGGUAGAACACCAGAGGCGAAGGCGGCUAUCUGGGCAUUUAUUGACGCUGAGGCACGAAAGCAUGGGGAUCAAACAGGAUUAGAUACCCUGGUAGUCCAUGCUGUAAACAAU
RNAcentral lists this ribosomal RNA (671 nucleotides) under uncultured bacterium. Its description in RNAcentral is "bacterial SSU rRNA". It matches the Rfam family "Bacterial small subunit ribosomal RNA", at positions 104 to 810 of the family's 1533-position model. The record is from RNAcentral.